GGAAGGAGGGUCUUGUGGCUAAGGCGCUGGGCUGGGAUUUGGGAGACGUGGGUUCCAUUCCCACUUUUGCCA
Molecule: transfer RNA, 72 nt
Filed under: Chelonia mydas (Green sea turtle)
Lineage: Eukaryota; Metazoa; Chordata; Testudines; Cheloniidae
Rfam family: tRNA
About the family: Transfer RNA (tRNA) molecules are approximately 80 nucleotides in length. Their secondary structure includes four short double-helical elements and three loops (D, anti-codon, and T loops).
Source: Rfam by way of RNAcentral